Cynoglossus semilaevis (tongue sole) is the source of this 400-nucleotide long non-coding RNA. RefSeq lists it as uncharacterized. The record is from RefSeq and is a predicted model, not a curated record. The transcript has 2 exons. Lineage: Eukaryota; Metazoa; Chordata; Actinopteri; Pleuronectiformes; Cynoglossidae.
ACGGUGUUUAACAUGGAACUAAUAUUUGUAUAGGUUGUAUUCUGUGACGGACAGAAGACCGCGUUGCACUUCUCACCGAAAAGGCAGUCAGUUAGGUUUCACGUAACGUUUUAAUUUAGCAGUGUGUUUGGGGAAAUUAGCAAUUAAACAUGUAACUUGGUAGAACAAUGUGCUAAGAUCGCCAUGUCACUGUAGAUGGAAUUCCGUGUCCACAGACGCUUAUGAAGAGACGGUAUUAAGAGAAUUAAUACAUUUACUCAACACCUUCCUCAGACAGAAGGUGCGUUUGUUUUAUGGAAUUUACUCGAACGCAUUCCCAAUGAAAUGUUGUAAUUAUUUCUUGUGUGGAAGAGGAUAAAUUAAAACAUUUAUGGAGGUCAUUUUUAGCCACUGCAAAUAA